This 507-nucleotide ribosomal RNA is filed under the name uncultured Rothia sp. Its description in RNAcentral is "bacterial SSU rRNA". It matches the Rfam family "Bacterial small subunit ribosomal RNA", at positions 1 to 507 of the family's 1533-position model. The record is from RNAcentral. Lineage: Bacteria; Bacillati; Actinomycetota; Actinomycetes; Micrococcales; Micrococcaceae.
CGUACUGAAGAGUACGUUUGUACGUCCUGGACUCAAGGACAACGCUGGCGGCGUGCUUAACACAUGCAAGUCGAACGAUGAAGCCUAGCUUGCUAGGUGGAUUAGUGGCGAACGGGUGAGUAAUACGUGAGUGACCUACCUUUGACUCUGGGAUAAGCCUGGGAAACUGGGUCUAAUACCGGAUACGACCAAUCUCCGCAUGGGGUGUUGGUGGAAAGCGUUAUGGAGUGGUUUUAGAUGGGCUCACGGCCUAUCAGCUUGUUGGUGAGGUAAUGGCUUACCAAGGCGACGACGGGUAGCCGGCCUGAGAGGGUGACCGGCCACACUGGGACUGAGACACGGCCCAGACUCCUACGGGAGGCAGCAGUGGGGAAUAUUGCACAAUGGGCGCAAGCCUGAUGCAGCGACGCCGCGUGAGGGAUGACGGCCUUCGGGUUGUAAACCUCUGUUAGCAUCGAAGAAGCGAAAGUGACGGUAGGUGCAGAGAAAGCGCCGGCUAACUACGCG